UGCGCAGGCGGUUAUAUAAGUCAGAUGUGAAAUCCCCGGGCUCAACCUGGGAACUGCAUUUGAGACUGUAUGGCUAGAGUGUGUCAGAGGGGGGUAGAAUUCCACGUGUAGCAGUGAAAUGUGUAGAUAUGUGGAGGAAUACCGAUGGCGAAGGCAGCCCCCUGGGAUAACACUGACGCUCAUGCACGAAAGCGUGGGGAGCAAACAGGAUUAGAUACCCUGGUAGUCCACGCCCUAAACGAUGUCUACUAGUUGUCGGGACUUAAUUGUCUUGGUAACGCAGCUAACGCGUGAAGUAGACCGCCUGGGGAGUACGGUCGCAAGAUUAAA
Molecule: ribosomal RNA, 330 nt
Filed under: uncultured bacterium
Lineage: Bacteria
Description: bacterial SSU rRNA
Rfam family: Bacterial small subunit ribosomal RNA
Source: RNAcentral